UCCUGGCUGCGGUGCGGUGCCUGCCGCCACACACCUGUCCUCCAACAGCAAUUCGAGUCGCUGCACCUCAGCCUCCCCAAACCACUUACAGGGGACACGGUACGAAGACCGGUGGCUGUGCCUCUGGCUCUUGCUUCCAGAUAAAGUCCCUUCUGGGACAGUGAGUCCUGGUCAUCGCUGCUGUCUGGCCACACCUCCAAGUCACGCUGGCUUCCCUUCAACCUGCCAAAGCAAAGAAGCGUUACGCCCAGUGUCCUGGCCACAGGUCACAUCUGCCCCUCCCCACCUCCCCUGAAACCAUCCACAGCUCCUAGGAGGGUCUCAAACUAGUCAUCGGGCCGUCCCGGCAGAGGCCCCGUCACAGGCUGGCGUGCCCAGGGCGGGCCUGCACCUUGCAGAUGGGCCAGGCCACGUCCCACCCUUGAGCAGAGCCAGCUGCCCAAUUGGGAUGGAGCUUAGAGGACCAUGUGGGCUCUGGGAAAAACUCAUGGCAGCAACAGACAUCAGAGAAAGCUAGUUGGGAGCCUGAGGGACGGAGGUCUGGAAAAGACUGUCAAUUGAUGAACAAAAAUCCCAAAAGGCAGGGAGUUCGGUGGUCUCCAAUCCUGCUUACGGAUCAAACCUACUCCUGUGGCGUGACCGCCCAGGCCGCUCGCCGGGCUGCAGGCGGGGAAGGGCUAACGGCCCAGAUCUGACUCUGGUUCGAGCUUGAUUAAAAAAAUUAAAAUUAAAAAAAAAAAAAAAAAAAAAGUAAA
Molecule: long non-coding RNA, 755 nt
Organism: Panthera uncia (snow leopard)
Lineage: Eukaryota; Metazoa; Chordata; Mammalia; Carnivora; Felidae
Exons: 2
Source: RefSeq, a predicted model, not a curated record